CAACUCUCAACAACGGAUAUCUUGGCUCUUGCAACGAUGAAGAACGCAGCGAAAUGCGAUACGUAAUGUGAAUUGCAGAAUUCCGUGAAUCAUCAAAUGUUUGAACGCAUAUUGCGCCUAAGGCUUCGGCCAAGGGCAUGCCUGCUUGAGCGCC
This 154-nucleotide ribosomal RNA is filed under the name Euastrum pectinatum. RNAcentral's name for it is "5.8S ribosomal RNA". It matches the Rfam family "5.8S ribosomal RNA". Rfam says of the family: 5.8S ribosomal RNA (5.8S rRNA) is a component of the large subunit of the eukaryotic ribosome. It is transcribed by RNA polymerase I as part of the 45S precursor that also contains 18S and 28S rRNA. Lineage: Eukaryota; Viridiplantae; Streptophyta; Zygnematophyceae; Desmidiales; Desmidiaceae. The record is from RNAcentral.